UACGUAGGUGGCGAGCGUUGUCCGGAUUUACUGGGCGUAAAGAGCGCGCAGGCGGUCGUUCAAGUCGCGUGUGAAAGCCCCCGGCUCAACUGGGGAGGGUCACGCGAUACUGAUCGACUCGAAGGCAGGAGAGGGAAGUGGAAUUCCCGGUGUAGUGGUGAAAUGCGUAGAUAUCGGGAGGAACACCAGUGGCGAAGGCGGUUCUCUGGGCCUUACCUGACACUGAGGAGCGAAAGCGUGGGGAGCGAACAGG
This 253-nucleotide ribosomal RNA is filed under the name uncultured bacterium. RNAcentral's name for it is "partial 16S ribosomal RNA". It matches the Rfam family "Bacterial small subunit ribosomal RNA", at positions 524 to 776 of the family's 1533-position model. The record is from RNAcentral.